Molecule: ribosomal RNA, 864 nt
Filed under: Roseivirga sp.
Lineage: Bacteria; Pseudomonadati; Bacteroidota; Cytophagia; Cytophagales; Roseivirgaceae
Description: bacterial SSU rRNA
Rfam family: Bacterial small subunit ribosomal RNA
Source: RNAcentral
UUUGAUUCCUGGCUCAGGAUGAACGCUAGCGGCAGGCCUAAUACAUGCAAGUCGAACGAGAUUCUAUUCUUCGGAAUAGAUGAAAGUGGCGCACGGGUGCGUAACGCGUAUGCAACCUACCCUUAACAGGGGGAUAGCCCAGAGAAAUUUGGAUUAAUACCCCAUAGUACUACAAGAUGGCAUCUGAAAGUAGUUAAAGAUUUAUCGGUUAAGGAUGGGCAUGCGUGACAUUAGAUAGUUGGUGAGGUAACGGCUCACCAAGUCAACGAUGUCUAGGGGUUCUGAGAGGAUGAUCCCCCACACUGGUACUGAGAUACGGACCAGACUCCUACGGGAGGCAGCAGUAGGGAAUAUUGGUCAAUGGGCGAGAGCCUGAACCAGCCAUGCCGCGUGCAGGAAGACAGCUUUCUGAGUUGUAAACUGCUUUUAUACGGGAAGAAAAAGCCCUUGCGAGGGAAAUUGCCGGUACCGUAUGAAUAAGCACCGGCUAACUCCGUGCCAGCAGCCGCGGUAAUACGGAGGGUGCAAGCGUUGUCCGGAUUUAUUGGGUUUAAAGGGUGCGUAGGCGGAUCUUUAAGUCAGUGGUGAAAUCCUGCAGCUUAACUGUAGAACUGCCAUUGAUACUGGAGGUCUUGAGUAUACUAGAGGUAGGCGGAAUUUAUGGUGUAGCGGUGAAAUGCAUAGAUACCAUAAAGAACACCAAUAGCGUAGGCAGCUUACUGGAGUAUAACUGACGCUGAGGCACGAAAGCAUGGGUAGCGAACAGGAUUAGAUACCCUGGUAGUCCAUGCCGUAAACGAUGAUUACUCGAUGUUGGCGAUAUACUGUCAGCGUCCAAGCGAAAGCGUUAAGUAAUCCCCCCUG